Molecule: non-coding RNA, 310 nt
Filed under: uncultured Bermanella sp.
Lineage: Bacteria; Pseudomonadati; Pseudomonadota; Gammaproteobacteria; Oceanospirillales; Oceanospirillaceae
Source: RNAcentral
GCUUUAAUGCAUGGUCACCAUUUAAUGGUAAGACAGUUUGUACUGAACCCUUGCCGAAGCUUUGCGUGCCUAAAAUGAGUGCUCUGCCAUGAUCUUGUAAGGCACCGGCGACAAUUUCAGAAGCAGAAGCACUGCCGCCGUUAAUUAAUACAAUAAGCGGUACAUCUGGGGCCAGUGUAUCCACAGUGGCUUCAUAGCGUACAUCAGCGUUGGCUACCCGUCCUUGUGUAUAAACGAUGAGUCCUUGUUCAAUAAAGGUAUCGCUCACCGAAACCGAAGCGUCUAAUACGCCGCCGGGGUUGUUACGUAA